Pongo pygmaeus (Bornean orangutan) is the source of this 381-nucleotide long non-coding RNA. RefSeq lists it as uncharacterized. The record is from RefSeq and is a predicted model, not a curated record. The transcript is spliced from 3 exons. Lineage: Eukaryota; Metazoa; Chordata; Mammalia; Primates; Hominidae.
UUGAUCUAGGAGUAGGAACUGGUCUCAGGUCACUGACUGCCAGGGUGGCCUGGGCAAAUCGUUUCUCCUCUUGGGGGCUCAGGGUCCCCACCCGUGCAGUGAGGGCACACGUGCUCUGAUGCCUUCAUGAGUGGCAGCACUGCACCAUGUUAGGCACGGGGGCUUCUGGGCCUAGUCCUUUGUCUUGCUGGCCGUGGGGAAGUGGAAAAGGCCUUACCCUGCCAAGAUGCGUCUUCCCAACCCACUCAACAUGAAGAUGACAAGGAUGAAGACCUUUAUGAUGAUCCACUCCCACUUACUGAAUAAUAUCAAGCAUUUUAUUCAACUAUGGAAUGGAAGCAACAGAUUACAGCAGCAUUAACAAGACCUGGGAUAUCAUCA